AAUCUGUGAAAUAUUUAACCGCCACUUCUUCCACUUCCGGCUCAGAGUUCACCCAAUUUCCGUCCUCAUUAUGGAGUCCUAUAAUCCUAUUCUGAAUAUGCCUUUGUUUUGUCAAAGCAUGAUAAAAUUUAGUAUUUUAAUCCCCACAUGUAUGCCAUUUAGAUCUAGAUUUUUGCUCCCAAUAUUGUUCCUCAUCACGAUACGCAUCCUGCAAUUUCCGUGACACCUCUAGGACCUCAUCAUUGGUUUUAGAAAAAUCAUUUUGAAUUUCUUCAAGAGCCUGUUGGAGAGAAUCGAUUUUUUUCUUUCCCAUAUGGUGGAUUCUGUUUCCUCCAGGCUGAGAUCUCAUGUCUACACCAAUGAAUUCUAUCCACAAUUCCACUCCUAUCCCCUACACGUCUAGAGUUCCAACCUCGUGUAAUUGAAUCCAUGAGCCCUUCUUCCCCUACCCAUCUCU
Molecule: long non-coding RNA, 457 nt
Filed under: Brassica napus (rape)
Lineage: Eukaryota; Viridiplantae; Streptophyta; Magnoliopsida; Brassicales; Brassicaceae
Description: long non-coding RNA (BNAP_LNC021289)
Source: RNAcentral